UGUGUGUGCCCUCCACUCACCACAGUGGC
This 29-nucleotide non-coding RNA is filed under the name Mus musculus (house mouse). Lineage: Eukaryota; Metazoa; Chordata; Mammalia; Rodentia; Muridae. The record is from RNAcentral.